This 253-nucleotide ribosomal RNA is filed under the name uncultured bacterium. RNAcentral describes it as "partial 16S ribosomal RNA". It matches the Rfam family "Bacterial small subunit ribosomal RNA", at positions 524 to 776 of the family's 1533-position model. The record is from RNAcentral.
UACAGAGGGUGCAAGCGUUACUCGGAAUUACUGGGCGUAAAGCGCGCGUAGGUGGUUCGUUAAGUUGGAUGUGAAAGCCCCGGGCUCAACCUGGGAACUGCAUUCAAAACUGACGAGCUAGAGUAUGGUAGAGGGUGGUGGAAUUUCCUGUGUAGCGGUGAAAUGCGUAGAUAUAGGAAGGAACACCAGUGGCGAAGGCGGCUCUCUGGGACGGUACUGACGCUGAGACGCGAAAGCGUGGGGAGCGAACAGG